GACGAACGCUGGCGGCGUGCCUAAUACAUGCAAGUCGAGCGAACAGAUGAGAAGCUUGCUUCUCUGAUGUUAGCGGCGGACGGGUGAGUAACACGUGGGUAACCUACCUAUAAGACUGGGAUAACUCCGGGAAACCGGGGCUAAUACCGGAUAAUAUUUUGAACCGCAUGGUUCAAUAGUGAAAGACGGUUUCGGCUGUCACUUAUAGAUGGACCCGCGCCGUAUUAGCUAGUUGGUAAGGUAACGGCUUACCAAGGCGACGAUACGUAGCCGACCUGAGAGGGUGGUCGGCCACACUGGAACUGAGACACGGUCCAGACUCCUACGGGAGGCAGCAGUAGGGAAUCUUCCGCAAUGGGCGAAAGCCUGACGGAGCAACGCCGCGUGAGUGAUGAAGGUCUUCGGAUCGUAAAACUCUGUUGGUAGGGAAGAACAAAUAUGUUAGUAACUGAACAAGUCUUGACGGUACCUAACCAGAAAGCCACGGCUAACUACGUGCCAGCCGCCGCGGUAA
RNAcentral lists this ribosomal RNA (514 nucleotides) under uncultured bacterium. RNAcentral's name for it is "partial 16S ribosomal RNA". It matches the Rfam family "Bacterial small subunit ribosomal RNA", at positions 28 to 523 of the family's 1533-position model. The record is from RNAcentral.